UACGUAGGGGGCAAGCGUUGUCCGGAAUCAUUGGGCGUAAAGCGCGUGUAGGCGGCUUGGUAAGUCUGCUCUGAAAGCCCGGGGCUCAACCCCGGGAGGCGGGUGGAUACUGUCGGGCUCGAAUCCGGAAGAGGUGAGUGGAAUUCCUGGUGUAGCGGUGAAAUGCGCAGAUAUCAGGAAGAACACCAAUGGCGAAGGCAGUUCUCUGGGACGGUACUGACGCUGAGACGCGAAAGCGUGGGGAGCGAACAGG
RNAcentral lists this ribosomal RNA (253 nucleotides) under uncultured bacterium. Its description in RNAcentral is "partial 16S ribosomal RNA". It matches the Rfam family "Bacterial small subunit ribosomal RNA", at positions 524 to 776 of the family's 1533-position model. The record is from RNAcentral.